This 301-nucleotide ribosomal RNA is filed under the name uncultured bacterium. RNAcentral's name for it is "partial 16S ribosomal RNA". It matches the Rfam family "Bacterial small subunit ribosomal RNA", at positions 509 to 809 of the family's 1533-position model. The record is from RNAcentral.
CAGUAGCCGCGGGAAUACAGAGGAUGCAAGCGUUAUCCGGAAUGAUUGGGCGUAAAGCAUCUGUAGGUUGCUUUUCAAGUCUGUUGUCAAAUCCCCGGGCUCAACCCUAGACAGCAGUGGAAACUACCAAGCUGGAGUACGGUAGGGGCAGAGGGAAUUUCUGGUGGAGCGGUGAAAUGCAUUGAGAUCGGAAAGAACACCAACAGCGAAAGCACUCUGCUGGGCCGACAUUGACACUGAGAGGCGAAAGUUAGGGGAGAAAAUUGGUUUAGAUACCCCCGUAGUCCCUGUCUCUUAUACA